RNAcentral lists this ribosomal RNA (442 nucleotides) under uncultured bacterium. Its description in RNAcentral is "partial 16S ribosomal RNA". It matches the Rfam family "Bacterial small subunit ribosomal RNA", at positions 338 to 795 of the family's 1533-position model. The record is from RNAcentral.
CCUACGGGUGGCAGCAGUGGGGAAUAUUGGGCAAUGGGCGCAAGCCUGACCCAGCAACGCCGCGUGAAGGAAGAAGGCUUUCGGGUUGUAAACUUCUUUUAAGGGGGAAGAGCAGAAGACGGUACCCCUUGAAUAAGCCACGGCUAACUACGUGCCAGCAGCCGCGGUAAUACGUAGGUGGCAAGCGUUGUCCGGAUUUACUGGGUGUAAAGGGCGUGCAGCCGGAGAGACAAGUCAGAUGUGAAAUCCACGGGCUCAACCCGUGAACUGCAUUUGAAACUGUUUCCCUUGAGUGUCGGAGAGGUAAUCGGAAUUCCUUGUGUAGCGGUGAAAUGCGUAGAUAUAAGGAAGAACACCAGUGGCGAAGGCGGUCUGCUGGACAGCAACUGACGGUGAGGCGCGAAAGCGUGGGGAGCAAACAGGAUUAGAUACCCUAGUAGUC